Molecule: transfer RNA, 72 nt
Filed under: Bacillus subtilis
Lineage: Bacteria; Bacillati; Bacillota; Bacilli; Caryophanales; Bacillaceae
Also listed under: 1 other name
Description: tRNA-Glu
Rfam family: tRNA
About the family: Transfer RNA (tRNA) molecules are approximately 80 nucleotides in length. Their secondary structure includes four short double-helical elements and three loops (D, anti-codon, and T loops).
Source: RNAcentral
GGCCCGUUGGUCAAGCGGUUAAGACACCGCCCUUUCAAGGCGGUAACACGGGUUCGAAUCCCGUACGGGUCA